This 228-nucleotide ribosomal RNA is filed under the name uncultured bacterium. Its description in RNAcentral is "partial 16S ribosomal RNA". It matches the Rfam family "Bacterial small subunit ribosomal RNA", at positions 8 to 217 of the family's 1533-position model. The record is from RNAcentral.
CAGAGUUGAUCAUGGCUCAGGAUGAACGCUGGCGGCGUGCCUAACACAUGCAAGUCGAACGAAGCUUGACGGAUGAUUUCUUCGGAAUGAAACCAGAUAUGACUUAGUGGCGGACGGGUGAGUAACACGUGAGCAACCUGCCUUUCAGAGGGGGAUAACGGCUGGAAACGGUCGCUAAUACCGCAUGAUGUGUUCGGAUGGCAUCAUCUGAACAUCAAAGAUUUAUCG